GCUCCUGCCGCCUUGCCCUUGUGUUUCUUCGCCGCCUUUGGGGAUUCCAGAUCGCCGUGCUUCCUCUUUCUCAUGUUGGCCAGCGUGUCCCCCAUCUCCUCCUUCUCCUUCUUCUUCUUCUUCAUGUUGGCCAGCGUGUCCCCCAUCUCCUCCUUCUCCUUCUUCUUCUUCUUCAUGUUGGCCAGCGUGUCCCCCAUCUCCUCCUUCUCCUUCUUCUUCUUGAGGUUGGCCAGCGUGUCCCCCAUCUCCUCCUCCUCCUUCUUCUUCUUGAGGUUGGCCAGCGUGUCCCCCAUCUCCUCCUUGUCCAGGGACGCCGCAAUCUCCCCCUUGUCCUUUUUCUUCUUGGCAGCAGCCUUCUCCCCCUUCUCCUUCUUCUUCGGGGCCGUCGCCUUCUCCUCCUCCUCCUUCUUC
RNAcentral lists this long non-coding RNA (411 nucleotides) under Hordeum vulgare. Its description in RNAcentral is "long non-coding RNA (HVUL_LNC014443)". Lineage: Eukaryota; Viridiplantae; Streptophyta; Magnoliopsida; Poales; Poaceae. The record is from RNAcentral.